CCUACGGGAGGCAGCAGUAGGGAAUCUUCCACAAUGGGCGAAAGCCUGAUGGAGCAACGCCGCGUGGGUGAAGAAGGUCUUCGGAUCGUAAAACCCUGUUGUUAGAGAAGAAAGUGCGUGAGAGUAACUGUUCACGUUUCGACGGUAUCUAACCAGAAAGCCACGGCUAACUACGUGCCAGCAGCCGCGGUAAUACGUAGGUGGCAAGCGUUAUCCGGAUUUAUUGGGCGUAAAGGGAACGCAGGGGGUCUUUUAAGUCUGAUUUGAAAGCCUUCGGCUUAACCGGAGUAGUGCAUUGGAAACUGGGAGACGUGAGUGCAGAAGAGGAGAGUGGAACUCGAUGUGUAGCGGUGAAAUGCGUAGAUAUAUGGAAGAACACCAGUGGCGAAAGCGGCUCUCUGGUCUGUAACUGACGCUGAGGUUCGAAAGCGUGGGUAGCAAACAGGAUUAGAUACCCCUGUAGUC
Molecule: ribosomal RNA, 465 nt
Filed under: uncultured bacterium
Lineage: Bacteria
Description: partial 16S ribosomal RNA
Rfam family: Bacterial small subunit ribosomal RNA
Source: RNAcentral